RNAcentral lists this ribosomal RNA (441 nucleotides) under uncultured bacterium. RNAcentral describes it as "SSU rRNA". It matches the Rfam family "Bacterial small subunit ribosomal RNA", at positions 26 to 518 of the family's 1533-position model. The record is from RNAcentral.
AGAACGAACGCUGGCGGCAUGCCUAACACAUGCAAGUCGAACGAGACCUUCGGGUCUAGUGGCGCACGGGUGCGUAACGCGUGGGAAUCUGCCCUUAGGUUCGGAAUAACUCAGGGAAACUUGAGCUAAUACCGGAUGAUGUCGCAAGACCAAAGAUUUAUCGCCUAGGGAUGAGCCCGCGUAGGAUUAGCUUGUUGGUGAGGUAAAGGCUCACCAAGGCUACGAUCCUUAGCUGGUCUGAGAGGAUGAUCAGCCACACUGGGACUGAGACACGGCCCAGACUCCUACGGGAGGCAGCAGUGGGGAAUAUUGGACAAUGGGCGAAAGCCUGAUCCAGCAAUGCCGCGUGAGUGAUGAAGGCCUAGGGUUGUAAAGCUCUUUACCCGGGAAGAUAAUGACUGUACCGGAGAAUAGCCCGGCUAACUCCGUGCCAGCAGCCGC